GCGUAGAGAUCUGGAGGAAUACCGGUGGCGAAGGCGGCCCCCUGGACGAAGACUGACGCUCAGGUGCGAAAGCGUGGGGAGCAAACAGGAUUAGAUACCCUGGUAGUCCACGCCGUAAACGAUGUCAACUAGCCGUUGGAAUCCUUGAGAUUUUAGUGGCGCAGCUAACGCAUUAAGUUGACCGCCUGGGGAGUACGGCCGCAAGGUUAAAAACU
Molecule: ribosomal RNA, 215 nt
Filed under: uncultured Pseudomonas sp.
Lineage: Bacteria; Pseudomonadati; Pseudomonadota; Gammaproteobacteria; Pseudomonadales; Pseudomonadaceae
Description: partial 16S ribosomal RNA
Rfam family: Bacterial small subunit ribosomal RNA
Source: RNAcentral